Long non-coding RNA from Myodes glareolus (Bank vole), 1557 nucleotides. RefSeq lists it as uncharacterized. The record is from RefSeq and is a predicted model, not a curated record. NCBI's taxonomy places the organism in Eukaryota, Metazoa, Chordata, Mammalia, Rodentia, Cricetidae.
ACUCAGUUGUCUUUUUUCAACGCCUACCCUAUAAAAACAGAAGUUAUCACCAAUGUGAGGAGGGAAGAUGGCAUGCUUUGGAAACAUAAAUCAGCAUAAAAAUGAUCUUUUUCUGUGCUUUGAAUGGAUCAUUAUGAGAAAAUCAAAUUUUAUAUGGUAGGCAGAUCCACAUUUGUUACCCAUUCAUGCAUAGACUUUUAGACACAUAACAAACUAAUAAUUUAACAUCAACAUCUCAUUUAAAAACUGUAAUUGUUCUCUUUAGUGGUUCAGUUCCUAAGUCCAAUAUUUAUUCCAAUCUUUCCAAUGGCAUUAAAUUUCUGCCUCAUUUGUAUUAAGGUUUCAUACUUUCAUCAGGCCUUUGAUAAUAAAAUGACAUAUUUAUUGCCUAACUUUUAUUAGCUUUGGCUUAAAGAUUCUUCAUAGAACUUCACUUAGGAAACUCAAUUCUCUUUAUAACAGAAAAAAGAAACAUUGCUUGCAAUACGAUUGUGAAUGUAGAUGGAAAUUUCGUCGUGAAAGUGCGGCGGAAAGAACCGUUUGAAAGAUUAGCCUCUUUAAGCAUGAACAGUAACUUUUAGCAAUUUUCACACCAUCUUGAUUACUGAGAGAUACUGACAUUUUAAAAUAGUUACAUUUUUUAUUUACAUAUAAUAUGUUAAGCCACUUUUCCUAUUCAGGAGAAUACACAAAUUUGAAGUGAGCCUGAUCUGUCUUCUCUCUUCUUACGAUUUAGAUCUUAAGUGGCCACCAGGAGUCGAUGUGUUAAAGGCUUGCUAAGAACAAUGAUGGGGUCCAGCAAGAGGUGUUCAAGAUCAUUAAAAAUGCUCUUAGGAAGAGAUUAUGUAACUCUAGCUCCUUUUUGCUUCAUGGCCAGAAAAUGUUUAAAUUAUAAUUAUCAAUUGCGGAGGGGAGCCUGGGAACAACUUUAUAGGGUUGUUUCUUUCCUUCCACAUUUACAUGGGGGUGCCUGCAGGGAUCAAACUUCAGUGACCACACUUGUGUGGCAGUCGCCUUUCUCCACUGACCAUCUGUCUCACUUCUGUUUGUACCCGUGAGGAGCUUUGCCCCAUUACAUGCUCUCUGCCAUCGCACUCCCCCUGGCUAGGGAAAGGAAUGAUUUGGAACUGGCACAGGAGAAAAGAAUGCGGAAGACCUUGACCUCGAAGUCUAGAAAAGUCUUGGGAUGGAAAGAGAAUUUGGUUCCUGGGCCUUAUGAAAAUCUUUCUGUUUGCAAAUAGAUUCAAGAUUCCUAAAGCAUCAAUACUGACCACUCACAACAAAUUUUGACACUGACAUUUUUCUCAUCUGGAGCAGGAACCUGUGCAGGAAGAUCAAAUUUUCAGUGAAAACAAAACAGAACUCAGUAGCAAAUGGACAAAGCACUCCAAGUUCCUGGCAUCAGAAGAAAAAAAUAUUAUAUAAGCCUGUGAGAAGACAAGCAUAGUUUUACAACUACAAAAUUAAAGAGAACAAUAAAUUUUUCUGUAAACAUAUAAGCAAAGAUUAAUAUUUGGUAUAAUGAAUUGCACACAGGGAAACAUGAAAAUAGCAUUG